AGUGAACGCUGGCGGUAGGCCUAACACAUGCAAGUCGAACGGCAGCACAGUAAGAGCUUGCCCUUACGGGUGGCGAGUGGCGGACGGGUGAGGAAUACAUCGGAAUCUACUUUUUCGUGGGGGAUAACGUGGGGAAACUUACGCUAAUACCGCAUACGACCUACGGGUGAAAGCAGGGGAUCUUCGGACCUUGCGCGAUUGAAUGAGCCGAUGUCGGAUUAGCUAGUUGGCGGGGUAAAGGCCCACCAAGGCGACGAUCCGUAGCUGGUCUGAGAGGAUGAUCAGCCACACUGGAACUGAGACACGGUCCAGACUCCUACGGGAGGCAGCAGUGGGGAAUAUUGGACAAUGGGCGCAAGCCUGAUCCAGCCAUACCGCGUGGGUGAAGAAGGCCUUCGGGUUGUAAAGCCCUUUUGUUGGGAAAGAAAAGCAGCAGGUUAAUACCCCGCUGUUCUGACGGUACCCAAAGAAUAAGCACCGGCUAACUUCGUG
RNAcentral lists this ribosomal RNA (492 nucleotides) under uncultured bacterium. Its description in RNAcentral is "partial 16S ribosomal RNA". It matches the Rfam family "Bacterial small subunit ribosomal RNA", at positions 29 to 507 of the family's 1533-position model. The record is from RNAcentral.